This 352-nucleotide ribosomal RNA is filed under the name uncultured fungus. Its description in RNAcentral is "SSU rRNA". It matches the Rfam family "Eukaryotic small subunit ribosomal RNA", at positions 1446 to 1794 of the family's 1831-position model. The record is from RNAcentral. Lineage: Eukaryota; Fungi.
UGAGGCAAUAACAGGUCUGUGAUGCCCUUAGAUGUUCUGGGCCGCACGCGCGCUACAAUGCUAGGUUCAACGAGUCGAUUUCGUACUUGGCCGAGAGGCCUGGUUAAUCUUCUGAAAUCCUAGCGUGCUUGGGCUUGCCUCUUGCAACUAGAGGCACCAACGAGGAAUUCCUAGUAGACGCAGGUCAUCAACCUGCAUCGAUUACGUCCCUGCCCUUUGUACACACCGCCCGUCGCUUCUACCGAUUGGUCGUCCCGGUGAACAAUCGGGAGGCCGUGCUCAUGGUCAGCAAUGGCCGGAGCGCGGUUGAACUUUUGUAAAUUUGGACGACUAGAGGAAGAAGAAGUCGUAA